UUAACUCAAAUUUAUUUAGUUGAAACGUUUGCCUACGUUUGUCGCUAGGGAUGCUGUUCCAACUACAUAAAAAUUUUAUUAA
This 82-nucleotide microRNA precursor is filed under the name Bombyx mori (domestic silkworm). Its description in RNAcentral is "mir-2807 microRNA precursor family". It matches the Rfam family "mir-2807 microRNA precursor family". The record is from Rfam by way of RNAcentral. Lineage: Eukaryota; Metazoa; Arthropoda; Insecta; Lepidoptera; Bombycidae.